This 397-nucleotide ribosomal RNA is filed under the name uncultured bacterium. RNAcentral describes it as "partial 16S ribosomal RNA". It matches the Rfam family "Bacterial small subunit ribosomal RNA", at positions 360 to 774 of the family's 1533-position model. The record is from RNAcentral.
AAUCUUGCGCAAUGGGCGAAAGCCUGACGCAGCCAUGCCGCGUGAAUGAUGAAGGCCUUAGGAUUGUAAAAUUCUUUCACCGGGGACGAUAUUGACGGUACCCGGAGAAGAAGCCCCGGCUACCUCUGUGCCAGCAGCCGCGGUAAUUCGAAGGGGGCGAGCGUUGCUCGGAAUUACCGGGCGUAAAGGGCGCGUAGGCGGAUCGUUAAGUCAGAGGUAAAAUCCCAGGGCUCAACCCUGGAACUGCCUUUGAUACUGGCGAUCUUGAGUAUGAGAGAGGUAUGUGGAACUCCGAGUGUAGAGGUGAAAUUCGUAGAUAUUCGGAAGAACACCAGUGGCGAAGGCGACAUACUGGCUCAUUACUGACGCUGAGGCGCGAAAGCGUGGGGAGCAAACA